Molecule: long non-coding RNA, 454 nt
Filed under: Ananas comosus (pineapple)
Lineage: Eukaryota; Viridiplantae; Streptophyta; Magnoliopsida; Poales; Bromeliaceae
Description: long non-coding RNA (ACOM_LNC006627)
Source: RNAcentral
AAGUACAUAUUUAGAUAUAUAUAUAUAUUUUUUUUUGAGAAAAAAGUAACAUGCUAUCCGUUUCAUUCAUUGAAAAGAUAAAUUAUGCUACAGUGGUGAGACAACCAGGACCUCUAAGAGGGUAAAAAAAAAAAGAAGAUGAAUUAGAUUACAGGGUGAAAAAAAAAAGAUGAAUUAGGCUACAGGGUGGAAAAAAAAAAACUACAGCUCACCGAAGUGUCGAUUAGCCGAAAGUAGUUGUUCCAAAAUAUUCGACAGCUGUUUAACCUUGCGAACUGCUAUCAGGGGGUCCAGCUGGAUUAUUCUAAAGAUUGUAUCGUUUUUGUUCUUCCAUAUGACCCACCAAUAGACUGCUAGUUCCGGAAGCCUGUAUCAUAUUUUAGAGAUUAUUAUGUAAUCUCUAAAAUAUAUAGGAGUAUGAUGAAGGCAAAUGUAUCAUAUUUUAGAGAUUAUU